GAGUCCCUCCCUCUAAAAGCACUCUGUGUGGGGAACAUGAGAGCCAGACCAAAGAUCAGGGGAACCCACCUGGACCUCCACCCAGUUAUAAGAGCAAGGAAGUGAAGGUCGUAAUUAAGAAAUUUGAAAAUGUAAUACAGAAGGAAAAAAUGACCCAUCAGAGACUCAAACGUGGACCUCCACCCAGCUGUGUCUCCUUAAAGAGUGACCGGUCUAAAGAUGGCCACAUUAAUUUUAAAGUCUCUGCUGCAGAGAGAGGUCAGAAGUCACAGUCUCCAGGAUCAAGCUGUCCGCCUAUGAAGAAUGAUGAAUCUAAAGAUUCACCUCCACUCUGCAGUGAUGAACCUGGACCAAGGAG
Molecule: long non-coding RNA, 358 nt
Organism: Oreochromis aureus
Lineage: Eukaryota; Metazoa; Chordata; Actinopteri; Cichliformes; Cichlidae
Exons: 4
Source: RefSeq, a predicted model, not a curated record